Long non-coding RNA from Oncorhynchus tshawytscha (Chinook salmon), 1582 nucleotides. Lineage: Eukaryota; Metazoa; Chordata; Actinopteri; Salmoniformes; Salmonidae. The record is from Ensembl.
AGAACCAAUGGGUGUGCCUGAGUCUCAUCACCUCUCAACCAGGGAAGCUGUUUCAACCUGGAACACUAUUAUCCUGCGUUGGUCUUUCAGUCAUUGCAGGAAGUCCUGAAGAUCAGCAGUUGUCCCGAUCCUGCCCAAACACCUGACUUAAACAAUCAACAUAACGAAUCACAGCGAUAGGCUAUGAUUUGUAAUCCGGUAUGAGCUGGAACGAAAGCUUGUACACACUCCUGCCAUUCAGAUCUGGAGCUAUCCACCCUGUUCCCAGCAUGCAGGACCCAUUGAUUACAGGGCGGUGGCUGCUAAGAAGAAGAAAUGAAUAGCUGCUGACCAGAAGACUGCAGUGAAGGGAGCACUGGUCCACACCUGCCCUGUCUGUCAGCCUCAAUUUAUCAGGACAUGGACUCUACAAGGUGUCAGAACAGCCUCAAUUCAUCAGGACAUGGACUCUACAAGGUGUCAGAACAGCCUCAAUUCAUCAGGACAUGGACUCUACAAGGUGUCAGAAUAGCCUCAAUUCAUCAGGACAUGGACUCUACAAGGUGUCAGAACAGCCUCAAUUCAUCAGGACAUGGACUCUACAAGGUGUCAGAAUAGCCUCAAUUCAUCAGGACAUGGACUCUACAUGGUGUCAGAACAGCCUCAAUUCAUCAGGACAUGGACUCUACAAGGUGUCAGAACAGCCUCAAUUCAUCGAGGCAUGGACUCUACAAGGUGUCAGAACAGCCUCAAUUCAUCAGGACAUGGACUCUACAAGGUGUCAGAACAGCCUCAAUUCAUCAGGACAUGGACUCUACAAGGUGUCAGAACAGCCUCAAUUCAUCAGGGUAUGGACUCUACAAGGUGUUGAAAGCGUUCCACAGGGAUGCUGGCUCAUGUUGACUCCAAUGCUCCCCACAUUUGUGUCAAGUUGGCUGAAUGUCUUUUGGGUGGUGGACCAUUCUUGAUACAUGCAUGAAAAACCCAGCAGCGUUGCAGUUCUUGACACAAACCAGUACACCUGGCACCUACUAUCAAGCCAAGUUGAAAGGUGCUUCAAUCUUUUGUCUUGCCCAUUCACACUCUGAAUUGCACACAUACUGUACACAAUCCAUGUCUCAAUUGUCUCAGGGCUUAAAAAUCCUUCUUUAACAUGUCUCCUCCCCUUCAUUGAAGUGGAUUUUACAGGUGAUAUCAAUAAGGGAUCAUUGCUUUCACCUGGUCAGUCUAUGUCAUGGAAAGAGCAGGUGUUCUUAAUGUUUUGUCUACCCAGUGUAUGUUAUGUAUAAAAGUCAUAUGUGUGCAUUGUUUAGUAUUUUGAUUUCUUUAAAACAAUGUCAUUGUUGGAGUUCAGAUGUUUGACGUGAUUGUUGGGUGACUAGGUGGGUUCUUAUCAAAUAAAUAUGCCUAAUUCAUUCUGCAAAGGGUUAAUCUGGUUUGACAGAACAUGUCAACAAGUUAGUUCUGAAUUGCUUUAAAUACAGCAGUGCAUUCUGACACCAUGAAUUGAAAUAGAAUUCACCUCGUUCAUAUAGUUGGCAGAAAUGACAAGGGAUUAAAUAUAGACCACUGGCGGAAGGAGGAGAGGAUCUGGUCAAAUAAG